GUUAAGGUGGCAGAGCCCGGAUAUUGCAAAAGACCUAAGACCUUUCCACAGGGGUUCAACUCCUCUCCUUAGCU
Molecule: transfer RNA, 74 nt
Filed under: Oryzias latipes (Japanese medaka)
Lineage: Eukaryota; Metazoa; Chordata; Actinopteri; Beloniformes; Adrianichthyidae
Description: tRNA-Leu
Rfam family: tRNA
About the family: Transfer RNA (tRNA) molecules are approximately 80 nucleotides in length. Their secondary structure includes four short double-helical elements and three loops (D, anti-codon, and T loops). Further hydrogen bonds mediate the characteristic L-shaped molecular structure. tRNAs have two regions of fundamental functional importance: the anti-codon, which is responsible for specific mRNA codon recognition, and the 3' end, to which the tRNAs corresponding amino acid is attached (by aminoacyl-tRNA synthetases). tRNAs cope with the degeneracy of the genetic code in two manners: having more than one tRNA (with a specific anti-codon) for a particular amino acid; and 'wobble' base-pairing, i.e. permitting non-standard base-pairing at the 3rd anti-codon position.
Source: RNAcentral